AACGCUGGCGGCAUGCCUCAUACAUGCAAGUCGAACGAGAAGCCACCUUCGGGUGGUAGGCAGUGGCGAACGGGUGUGUAACACGUGGGAACUUACCGCAAAGUGGGGGACAACAGUUGGAAACGACUGCUAAUACCGCAUACGCCCUACGGGGGAAAGCUUUAUGUGCUUUGCGAUAGGCCCGCGCUAGAUUAGCUAGUUGGAGAGGUAAUGGCUCACCAAGGCAACGAUCUAUAGCUGGUUUGAGAGGAUGAUCAGCCACACUGGGACUGAGACACGGCCCAGACUCCUGCGGGAGGCAGCAGUAGGGAAUAUUGGACAAUGGGGGCAACCCUGAUCCAGCAAUGCCGCGUGUGUGAAGACGGUCUUAGGAUUGUAAAACACUUUCAGUUGAGAAGAUGAUGACGGUAUCAACAGAAGAAGCUCCGGCUAACU
This 435-nucleotide ribosomal RNA is filed under the name uncultured Alphaproteobacteria bacterium. RNAcentral's name for it is "bacterial SSU rRNA". It matches the Rfam family "Bacterial small subunit ribosomal RNA", at positions 32 to 502 of the family's 1533-position model. Lineage: Bacteria; Pseudomonadati; Pseudomonadota; Alphaproteobacteria. The record is from RNAcentral.